UCACCUGGGUCUUUCAUCCUGGGCUUCUUCCUCUCAUGGUGGCCACAGGUGUUCCGAGGGGAUGAGGUUGGACACUACAAGGCCUGUGAAGGUGUAGGCUCUGAGGCUGCAUAACUUCACUUCCACUGCAUUCUCUUGGUCAAAGCAGCAGACAAGGCUGCUCGGACACAAAGAGUGGAGAGACGCCUUCGUUGCUCUUUUCCCAUCUGUGUCCAGUUCAUUCCUACCAAGACAGCCACUCUCUAGGAGAGCCCCGACCAGGAAAGAAGUUAGUUUCAGGUGCAUCCGACAGGGGAGACACAGAGGAGGCCUCUCAACAAAACAGCAGGAUGCAGUUGGAGAAACUGGUUGUUUUUACCAAGGCUUGGACUGGAAAGGGCAUGCUUCCCUUAAAAAAAUCAAGCUUGACUUGCAGAGCCAAUAGAAGCCUGUUGGGAAAACCGGCCUCAUACCUUGUCUACCUAGUCCCUCUACAGGGUUCUUAACCUGUGGU
Molecule: long non-coding RNA, 493 nt
Filed under: Pan troglodytes (chimpanzee)
Lineage: Eukaryota; Metazoa; Chordata; Mammalia; Primates; Hominidae
Description: long non-coding RNA NONPTRT011620
Source: RNAcentral